CAAGUAUCUAUAACCUUCUUGUGACGUC
This 28-nucleotide non-coding RNA is filed under the name Bombyx mori (domestic silkworm). The record is from RNAcentral. Lineage: Eukaryota; Metazoa; Arthropoda; Insecta; Lepidoptera; Bombycidae.